RNAcentral lists this ribosomal RNA (394 nucleotides) under uncultured bacterium. Its description in RNAcentral is "bacterial SSU rRNA". It matches the Rfam family "Bacterial small subunit ribosomal RNA", at positions 28 to 410 of the family's 1533-position model. The record is from RNAcentral.
GAUGAACGCUGGCGGCGUGCCUAAUACAUGCAAGUCGAACGCACAGCGAAAGGUGCUUGCACCUUUCAAGUGAGUGGCGAACGGGUGAGUAACACGUGGAUAACCUACCUCAAGGUUGGGGAUAACAUUUGGAAACAGAUGCUAAUACCGAAUAAAACUUCGUAUCGCAUGAUACAAGGUUAAAAAGGCGCUACGGCGUCACCUAGAGAUGGAUCCGCGGUGCAUUAGUUAGUUGGUGGGUAAAGGCCUACCAAGACAAUGAUGCAUAGCCGAGUUGAGAGACUGAUCGGCCACAUUGGGACUGAGACACGGCCCAAACUUCCUACGGGAGCUGCAGUAGGGAAUCUUCCACAAUGGGCGAAAGCCUGAUGGAGCAAACGCCGCGUGUGUGAUG